Cyprinus carpio carpio is the source of this 1188-nucleotide long non-coding RNA. The record is from Ensembl. NCBI's taxonomy places the organism in Eukaryota, Metazoa, Chordata, Actinopteri, Cypriniformes, Cyprinidae.
CAGAGGUUCCCGAUUAGCACUGUCACAUAGGAACGGUGCAAGAGGAGAGCAGACGAGAGGACAAAUCACAGAAUUAUUCAUUUUUGUUUUUAUGUUUUACGUCAUGAUGGAGGAUACGGUGAUGUACCUCAGGCUUAGUCAAGACCAAGGCCAGAGAAAAAUAAGGCAGUAAAAUGGUAAACACUGGCCAUUUUGAACAGGGUUUCCCCAGGACUCGCACGAGAGCUCUUAAUGAGUCUUCCACCCAUCAUAGCAACAUGCAGCAUCCUAUCAAGUGCCUCCCAAGUGAAAAAGGCCAAAUAAGAAAGCAGGCACCUGGGGGAGAGGAACAUCUGUGUGCGGUUGAUCAUGCCUGUUUCUCAUUCAUGCUUUAUGCCUUGUCUGGUAAGCCCAGACAGCAGGUGCAUCUCUCAGUAAGGCAGCUCUGACAGAUAAGCUUUAGCUGCUGAAGCGUGCCACCUGAUUUUCUUCAGUCAAAUCAGAAGAAGAUGAUGUGAUGGAAUUACAGGACCUCCAUUUCACAUUCAUAUUAUAACAACAUAGACUGCAACAGCAAGAGGACUGCAGUAUUGCAAUUUUAAAGCAAACGUGGACUUUAAAAUAGCAUUUGCUUAUGCUACAUGUUUUGAAUUAUUUGCGUACAUUAAUUUGAUCAUGAUGAAAUCCAAAUUUCAGCAGGUUAUUAGUCCCAGUAUUUUUUUUACAAUGUUAUUAAAAUAUAUUUUUUCUUAUUUUUUUAUUUUUUUUUUGUAUUUCAUAAUAUCACAAUAAUCUGAAUAUUAUAAAACAUAAUCACAAUAAAAUCAUCAAGUAUUAAUAUUUUAUAGUCAUAUUGAAUUGGUCAAAAACAAUGGGAAUGUGGCCUAUGAAAACUCAAGAUUUCUAUUUUUCUUUUACUUUCUUUUUUUUUUUGUGUGUGUUAAACACUCAGUUACUGAUAGAGGUUUGACUUGUUUUUUGUAAAAAGUACAACCCAAGAAUAAACACAAAUGUUUUAAGUUUAAGUUACCAAAUUCUGUAGUCCUAAAAGGAUGACCACCCCCCCCCCUAAAAAAAAAAAAAAACCUCAGCAUAAUUUUUUUAAAUAUUUUUUUUUCUAUGUAAAUGCACUUCCUGACAAAACCUCUCCUCUAACUCUAGAAUAAUUCACUCCUUGUAAGUAAUCUGAUAAAAGUUUACAUAUUUUUU